UACAUGGGGUGCAAACGUUGCUCGGAAUUAUUGGGCGUAAAGCGCACGUAGGUGGUCUGUUAUGUCAGAUGUGAAAGCCCUCGGCUUAACUGAGGAAGUGCACCUGAAACUGGCAGGCUUGAGUACGAAAGAGGGUCGCGGAAUUCCCGGUGUAGAGGUGAAAUUCGUAGAUAUCGGGAGGAACACCGGUGGCGAAGGCGGCGAUCUGGGUAGAUACUGACGCUGAGGUGCGAAAGCGUGGGGAGCAAACAGG
This 253-nucleotide ribosomal RNA is filed under the name uncultured bacterium. Its description in RNAcentral is "partial 16S ribosomal RNA". It matches the Rfam family "Bacterial small subunit ribosomal RNA", at positions 524 to 776 of the family's 1533-position model. The record is from RNAcentral.